This is a long non-coding RNA of Brassica oleracea var. oleracea, 204 nucleotides long. RefSeq lists it as uncharacterized. NCBI's taxonomy places the organism in Eukaryota, Viridiplantae, Streptophyta, Magnoliopsida, Brassicales, Brassicaceae. The record is from RefSeq and is a predicted model, not a curated record. The transcript is spliced from 2 exons.
UUAAUCGCUGUUAAGAUCAGUCUCUGCUUUGAUCAACUUGAACAACAGAGCAAAGGAUUCUGAUUCUAUGCUGGCUUUUUCUUACCAGUCUUACAAGAAAGGCCCAGUUCCAAGAAGUUGAGCUGGAAAAACAGCCAAGCAGCUCAAAGAGGCGUUUACAAUCUCUAGCGAAGAAACGAACAGAUGUGCGGCAACAAAAAAAAA